Molecule: long non-coding RNA, 222 nt
Filed under: Elaeis guineensis (African oil palm)
Lineage: Eukaryota; Viridiplantae; Streptophyta; Magnoliopsida; Arecales; Arecaceae
Description: long non-coding RNA (EGUI_LNC005642)
Source: RNAcentral
CCGCAGAGUUUUCCCUCGUGAAGGAGAUAUCGGGAUGAUUGAUACCUUAUUUUCUGAGCUUCCUUCCGAUCCAUUGGCAAGGUCCCGUCUCUGAGAUAGUUGAUGAGGGGGUCCAUCUAGCAGAACUCCUCAUCUAGCUGCAUUACCGCUACCGACUCUACUAUGCAUGGCCUGCUCAACACCCCAAAGAAGGUCCUUCAUGGCAACUCAGAUGUGGCGUUG